GACGAACGCUGGCGGCGCGCUUAACACACGCAAGUCGAGCGAUGAAAUCUUGACAGAACCCUUCGGGGUGAAGAUAAGAUGGAUUAGCGGCGGACGGGUGAGUAACACGUGAGUAACCUGCCUUAGACAUUGGGAUAGCCUCGGGAAACCGGGAUUAAUACCAAAUGAAAUCACAUAUGCACAUGCAUAAAUGAUCAAAGCUCCGGCGGUCUAAGAUGGACUCGCGUCCCAUUAGCUAGUUGGUGAGGUAACGGCCCACCAAGGCGACGAUGGGUAGCCGGCCUGAGAGGGUGAACGGCCACAUUGGAACUGAGAAACGGUCCAAACUCCUACGGGAGGCAGCAGUGGGGAAUAUUGCACAAUGGAGGGAACUCUGAUGCAGCGACGCCGCGUGAACGAAGAAGGCUUUCGAGUCGUAAAGUUCUUUUAUAUGGGAAGAUAAUGACGGUACCAUAAGAAAAAGCCCCGGCUAACUACGUGCCAGCAGCCGCGGUAAUACGUAGGGGGCUAGCGUUGUCCGGAAUCACUGGGCGUAAAGGGUUCGCAGGCGGAAAUGCAAGUCAGGUGUAAAAGGCAGUAGCUUAACUACUGUAAGCAUUUGAAACUGCAUAUCUUGAGAAGAGUAGAGGUAAGUGGAAUUUUUAGUGUAGCGGUGAAAUGCGUAGAUAUUAAAAAGAAUACCGGUGGCGAAGGCGACUUACUGGGCUCAUUCUGACGCUGAGGAACGAAAGCGUGGGUAGCAAACAGG
Molecule: ribosomal RNA, 748 nt
Filed under: uncultured Peptoniphilus sp.
Lineage: Bacteria; Bacillati; Bacillota; Tissierellia; Tissierellales; Peptoniphilaceae
Description: bacterial SSU rRNA
Rfam family: Bacterial small subunit ribosomal RNA
Source: RNAcentral